This 21-nucleotide transfer RNA is filed under the name Phoca largha (spotted seal). Its description in RNAcentral is "partial tRNA-Thr". The record is from RNAcentral. Lineage: Eukaryota; Metazoa; Chordata; Mammalia; Carnivora; Phocidae.
GACACAACUCUCCCUAAGACU